GCGGGAUGCUUUACACAUGCAAGUCGAACGGCAGCGCGGACUUCGGUCUGGCGGCGAGUGGCGAACGGGUGAGUAAUGUAUCGGAACGUACCCAGUAGCGGGGGAUAACUACGCGAAAGCGUGGCUAAUACCGCAUACGCCCUUUGGGGGAAAGCGGGGGACCUUCGGGCCUCGCACUAUUGGAGCGGCCGAUAUCGGAUUAGCUAGUUGGUGAGGUAAAGGCUCACCAAGGCGACGAUCCGUAGCUGGUUUGAGAGGACGACCAGCCACACUGGGACUGAGACACGGCCCAGACUCCUACGGGAGGCAGCAGUGGGGAAUUUUGGACAAUGGGGGCAACCCUGAUCCAGCCAUCCCGCGUGUGCGAUGAAGGCCUUCGGGUUGUAAAGCACUUUUGGCAGGGAAGAAAAGGUGCCGGUGAAUACCCGGCGCCGCUGACGGUACCUGCAGAAUAAGCACCGGCUAACUACGUGCCAGCAGCCGCGGUAAUACGUAGGGUGCAAGCGUUAAUCGGAAUUACUGGGCGUAAAGCGUGCGCAGGCGGCUCGGAAAGAAAGAUGUGAAAUCCCAGGGCUUAACCUUGGAAUGGCAUUUUUAACUCCCGAGCUAGAGUAUGUCAGAGGGGGGUAGAAUUCCACGUGUAGCAGUGAAAUGCGUAGAGAUGUGGAGGAAUACCGAUGGCGAAGGCAGCCCCCUGGGAUAAUA
This 705-nucleotide ribosomal RNA is filed under the name Candidimonas sp. Its description in RNAcentral is "bacterial SSU rRNA". It matches the Rfam family "Bacterial small subunit ribosomal RNA", at positions 39 to 739 of the family's 1533-position model. Lineage: Bacteria; Pseudomonadati; Pseudomonadota; Betaproteobacteria; Burkholderiales; Alcaligenaceae. The record is from RNAcentral.